Molecule: transfer RNA, 72 nt
Filed under: Junonia chorimene
Lineage: Eukaryota; Metazoa; Arthropoda; Insecta; Lepidoptera; Nymphalidae
Description: tRNA-Leu
Source: RNAcentral
ACUAUUUUGGCAGAUAAUUGUGAUGAUUUUAGAGUUCAUAUAUAUAUAUUAUACUUAAAUAUAUAGGUAGUA